This 538-nucleotide ribosomal RNA is filed under the name uncultured bacterium. RNAcentral describes it as "bacterial SSU rRNA". It matches the Rfam family "Bacterial small subunit ribosomal RNA", at positions 355 to 896 of the family's 1533-position model. The record is from RNAcentral.
UAAGGAAUAUUGCGCAAUGGGCGAAAGCCUGACGCAGCGACGCCGCGUGGGGGAUGAAGGUCUUCGGAUUGUAAACCCCUUUCGGGAGGGAAGAUGGGAUGGGGUAACCCAUUCGGACGGUACCUCCAGAAGCAGCCACGGCUAACUUCGUGCCAGCAGCCGCGGUAAUACGAAGGUGGCAAGCGUUGUUCGGAUUUACUGGGCGUACAGGGAGCGUAGGCGGUUGGGUAAGCCCUCCGUGAAAUCUCCAGGCUUAACCUGGAAAGUGCAGAGGGGACUGCUCAGCUAGAGGAUGGGAGAGAAGCGCGGAAUUCCCGGUGUAGCGGUGAAAUGCGUAGAGAUCGGAAGGAAGGCCGGUGGCGAAGGCGGCGCUCUGGAACAUCUCUGACGCUGAGGCUCGAAAGCGUGGGGAGCAAACAGGAUUAGAUACCCUGGUAGUCCACGCCUUAAACGAUGGAUACUAAGUGUCGGCGGGUUACCGCCGGUGCCGCAGCUAACGCAGUAGGUAUCCCGCCUGGGAAGUACGGCCGCAAGGUUG